RNAcentral lists this long non-coding RNA (662 nucleotides) under Cyanistes caeruleus (blue tit). RNAcentral describes it as "lncRNA (ENSCCEG00000024158.1)". Lineage: Eukaryota; Metazoa; Chordata; Aves; Passeriformes; Paridae. The record is from RNAcentral.
GGGUGACAGCCGUGCGGGGGCUGCCGGGGGGCUGCUGCUCCCCAACAGGGUCGGGCAGGAGGAGCCCACACCCGUCGGGAUGGUCACCCCCCACCCAGCACAGGGUAUGAAAAAGAAAAAAAAGAAGAAAAUCAAGAAUAAAAUCAAGUCACGGGAAGCUUCUCUGGAGCAGCGGCGUGAGGAGGUCUCAAGCACCUUCGAUCUGUACCGGCGGGCCAUGCUGGCUCUGAGGAUGAGGCAGGAGCAGAGGAAGCAGCCGUCGGCCAUCGCUCCCUGAGGCACAGGGCUCGGUGGCAGCGGGACCCUGCUGGGGCGCUUGGCCGGGGAGCUCCUGGGCCAUAAACAGCAUCACUGUCCUCUGCAAGGCUUGAAAACCAGGGAUCCGCAGGGGCGAGCCGAAAGUCCCUUUGUCAGGGCUCCUCUGGCAGUGGGGCUGCAAAUCCGGCUGAAAAGGGAAGGGCUGGCCCUUGCUGCCCCCUGCUCGCGUCCCGCGGAACGCUCCGCCGAAACCCCCAUCAGCCUGCGGAGGAUCCGAGCAGCAUCGCAGGGGGAAAUCUUGGCUCUUGAAGUGCCCUGUGCCCUGGGAAAGCUGUCUUUGCAGGCCAGGGGCUGAGCCGGGCCGGCAGUCUCUCCUAGGAGCAGUCUCGUUGCUGGAGGUGGGA